UGGGGAAUAUUGGACAAUGGGCGAAAGCCUGAUCCAGCCAUGCCGCGUGUGUGAAGAAGGUCUUCGGAUUGUAAAGCACUAUAAGUUGGGAGGAAGGGCAGUAAGCGAAUACCUUGCUGUUUUGAUGUUACCGACAGAAUAAGCACCGGCUAACUCUGUGCCAGCAGCCGCGGUAAUACAGAGGGUGCAAGCGUUAAUCGGAAUUACUGGGCGUAAAGCGCGCGUAGGUGGUUCGUUAAGUUGAAUGUGAAAGCCCCGGGCUCAACCUGGGAACUGCAUCCAAAACUGGCGAGCUAGAGUAGGGCAGAGGGUGGUGGAAUUUCCUGUGUAGCGGUGAAAUGCGUAGAUAUAGGAAGGAACACCAGUGGCGAAGGCGACCACCUGGGCUCAUACUGACACUGAGGUGCGAAAGCGUGGGGAGCAAACAGG
RNAcentral lists this ribosomal RNA (429 nucleotides) under Pseudomonadota bacterium. RNAcentral describes it as "Proteobacteria bacterium partial 16S ribosomal RNA". It matches the Rfam family "Bacterial small subunit ribosomal RNA", at positions 355 to 776 of the family's 1533-position model. Lineage: Bacteria; Pseudomonadati; Pseudomonadota. The record is from RNAcentral.